AUAUAAGAGACAGUGAAAUCAGCACUAUGCAUGUCACCAACAGAAAGUAAAUAAGAGUAUCAAAUACUAUAACAAGUACCUACAAAUUUGCAAAAGAACGAUCCAACUUGCAAAAAAGAUUCUUAAAUUCGAAAAACUAUUGUCGCUUGGGGGAAAACAAUGAUAACCAAGAACUCACAGUCCCUAAAGUCAGCAAAGCUUUAUUUAUAUAAGACCUUUCUUUGCGCCAAACCACUGGUUUCAGCCUUUGAGCUCUCAGAACCUGCCAGGUCAAUGAGGUUCUGCAAAUAUAUGUGAAAGUGAAAUUAUGGUCAGUUGUUCAUCUUUAAGUGUUCAGACAGUGCAAUAAUAAACAGUUUGUCAGAGUUAAUGAAACAGUAAGCUAUUACCGAACAUAAAAUCACUUGAUAAAAAGAAAAGAUGUUAUAGCAGCUCCACUUUCAUUAUUGUCAACCAAUGUAUUGACCAUGGGUGUCAUAAGAGAAAAGUUCUACUAGGUUGCAAAGUGUGUAAAGCAGAGAACUAACCUAAAGAAUGCAACUAUAAGCUAACUACAGUAAAAGUAAAGGUUUUAUAGGGUCAACAGAACGACACUAGAUACAUGCAUAAUGUGAGUUUGAUUGCCUGUCUGGGACCUCACUCAAGCAUAAACCAAUGUUAACAAUCCACAGAACAAACAUAUCAAACAAAGUGACUGUGACAUUUUCUUUGGAAUGCAAAGCCUUAGGUGGUACCUGUAUAAUGUAAUUGUGGCUUGCUAUGGCUAUCCACAGAUGUCUUUGGAUAAAGUUUUGAAAACGAGGUUGUUGAAGAUACAGGGGAAUCACAAAGGCUUUAACUUGCUUAAUCCAGCAGUUGUAUACUUUGAUACUUGUUUAGAUCCUAUCACAAACGAAAUUCCAACUUCCGGUGACUGAAAAAAAAGAUGCAAGUACAAAACUUUAUCAAAUAAUAAGAGCUAGUAACAAGUAUACUAUUGCAUUUUUUUUUGAGUUUUUAAGCCAAUCAGAAGGCUCUAUUUCGUACCCACUCGCAGAAAGAGCGCGUUGAGCAAGUGAGGGCGAUUCUGUGGGUAAACCCCUUUCCAAUUCAUGACUUUUUUUAUCGACGCACAUCUCUCCAAAUUCUCCAUCGCGUGACUCUUUUAGUUAUUUUCAACAAAACCAAUAAAACCGAACCGAAAUCAGUUUUAAUUUCAAAACCAAUACAAACCAAACCGAAUCAGCAAAUAGUGUGAAGCAACAAUUCUGGACAGAAAAUUUAUCAACAUCUCAACAACGGGAAAAAGAGAAAACACCACAACUCAAAAUCACAAAUCAUAGAAAAAUAUCCAAAAAAAUCACAGUAGCCUUUGAUUAAACUUUCAAAUUGCAAAAAUCUCAGAAUCAAAGCCAAGAAGAAUCCUGAAGAUUUCUAUUUCCAUGGCAUCCAAUGGAGGAAGAAGAACAAUCUACUGCUUCAAUUAAACAUGAAAAACGACUCAAAGAGCUUAGCUUUACUAGUUUUAGUAAAAUUUCUCGGCAACAAAGUCAAAACAGACAUGAACACAUAAAAAAGAUACUAAAACAGAACUGUAUAUUCGACAAGAACAAGGACGAUUUGCAAUAAUUAAACAGAUUAGACUCACCAGUUGAAAUCUAAAAGCAUGAAUCUAGUUGUGAGCUCUUCGUGUUUGCCCCCCUUUAUUAUCUUUCUUGACAAGCAUAUUCAACUAGUUCCUUAAACAAACAAAUUUGGUUCAAAUUCUAUAUGAACAAAAGGCUUCGUAUAUCCUCGAUCAUGAGA
This 1785-nucleotide small RNA is filed under the name Arabidopsis thaliana (thale cress). RNAcentral's name for it is "ATSL234670". The record is from RNAcentral. Lineage: Eukaryota; Viridiplantae; Streptophyta; Magnoliopsida; Brassicales; Brassicaceae.